GAAUCAAACUCAGGGUCUCAUGUUUGCGAGGCAGGUGCUGUGUUGCUGAGCUACAUCCCUGACCGCCAGACACAGUUUCUCAUUCAUCAAAAGCAUCUUUCAAUCCUGCAAGCUUCAUACAUGGUGUGUCUCAGAAUAUUUGUCUGAAAAAUCUCACCUUUUGUUCCUCAUGAUGUGAACUUUGAGUGGUAUUUCUCUGCAAUGCCGUAAGUAUUUUCCCUCUGCACCAUACUCCUCUGCCAUGUCAUCCUGCCUUGGAGCCAGCUGACUAUGGUAUGAAACCUCUACAAACUGUGAGUCAAAAUACACCUUUCCUACUUCAGGGUGUGAGUGCUGAGAAUUGUGUCUCAGUGGUGAGAAAAUGGUUUAUAAAGUGUAGUGUAUUCCUUCAAGACAUAAAGAAUCACAGCACUUGAAAAUCUAUCUGUGGUCCCUUCUUCAGGACUCUUGGAUACAAAAACCCUGAUCUCACUUUUUCCAGGUCCCUCAUUAAUUCUCCAAGACACUCUGUUUCUUGACCUCAGGUCAGUUUUUUUUUUUUAAUGGCAAGAGACUAAACAAGUAUAUGCCUGCCAUUGUGUUGAUCCCCUCAUCACAGCCCUUUAAUAUCACUCCUGUGUGUUGUGUGCUUCAAAAUUACAUGUUGACAUUGUAGUUUUUUUGACCUUUGAAUGUGACUUUAGUUUGGUGACUAUUCUUUACAAGGGAAAAGAGGUGGAGACUUGGACAUAGAGACACAUACAGGGAAAAUAUUGUGCAACAGUUGGGGCAAAGAUUGGAGAGAAGCAUCUAUAAGAUAACCAAUGUGAAGGAUUUUUGACAACCACCAGAGGCUAGGAUGAAGCAAAGAAAUCUUCUUGUCUAGGAACAACAGGGACCACAGCCCUAUUGAUAACUUGAUUUUAAAAGUCUAGCUUACAGAGCUCUGAGAGAAUUAUUUUAUAUUGUGUUUUAAGUCACCCAGCCAGUGAUACCUUCUCAUAAGAGUCCUAGGAAACUAAUAAACUUUUUAUUGUUCUAUCUUGCAGUGGUUUUAUGUUUUCAGCAUUAACUUAUCAAGACAGUCCAUCCGUAAACCAAACUUCUUUCAACCAUGAGACCAAACUCAUGAGCCGAGGAAGAGUCAUCAGUACAAAGUCUGACGCAUCUUCUUAUGUAAAUUAUUCACCCUCUUGAUCUGUUCAGGUCCAUUCUAGGAAGUCUCAUUUCCACUGCAUAGUAUAUUUUGCCUCUGUCCACCUGACCUUAUGUCUGACGUUAUGAUUUGGCAAACUGACAAUGUCAUAGUCACUGACAAGUUCACAGUCACUUGACAAUACCUGGAUGAUAGGCAUAGUCACCAGCUAAUGUCUGGUGCUGUGUAAUCAGAGCCAAAUAUCCUCAGAUUGUAGACUGGCUUUUACAUAUCAGUAUCUAUUUUUCACACAAAAGUUAGUUCUCUGCUAUUGAAGACAUAAUUUUACCACAGAACACUCUCAUCUGUUUGUAAACUCUCCAAAUGUAGCUUUCCAGUGACCUUAUACAGGUUAUCUAUCUAAUAGAAUCCGUUAGCCUCAUUGUAUCUGUUGAGUCACAUAAUCAAGUUCAGAGCCUCUUGCACAAGAGCUUGUACAUAUUUCUAAAUUCUUCUUACAGAUCCAUAUGCAAAAACUUACUCAGGGGUAAGAUAUUUAUACUUUAAAAUUAGGAAUUCACUUUCUAUAGCCACAUGCCCCUCAAUAAUAUUGGAUUUAUGAAAAGGUUCACUUAUUGGUCAAACUAGAUGUUCAUGGUCAAAGUUUCUUUCUGUUUUUUGUUUUCUAUUUUCCAAAACUCUGCAGGCAUGUAAGUUUAAACAAGUCAAGUAUUUCCCGGCAGAUUUUUCCAUCUUUAGUGAUUGGAUGCUUUAUGAUUGGUGUCACAUAAUUUUCCUGCAUGAGAAAAGACAUUAUUUUGUCUCAUGUAGUCUUCUAACUCUGGAGUCCACUGGUAGCUUUUCUUAAACUCAUUGGAAUAUAAGGUAUGUAGGGUUAUUCAUAAAGUGGUAGUUUGAUUCACUCUCUGGAAAUAUUUCUAUUGAGUAAAUCUCCAUCUAGAGAAAGAUAGUUAUGUAUCUUUGUAUAUACAAAUCCAUGAAAUUUUGCUAUAAAUAUGACCCUUAUCUUUAUUU
Molecule: non-coding RNA, 2149 nt
Organism: Heterocephalus glaber (naked mole-rat)
Lineage: Eukaryota; Metazoa; Chordata; Mammalia; Rodentia; Bathyergidae
Source: RefSeq, a predicted model, not a curated record